GUCCUUGUCGAUUAGUGGUUAGAUCAUCACGUUGUGGCCGUGAAGACGCAGGCUCGAAUCCUGCCUGGGACA
This 72-nucleotide transfer RNA is filed under the name Omphalotus olearius VT 653.13. RNAcentral's name for it is "tRNA-His (GTG) (tRNA-His-GTG-1-1)". It matches the Rfam family "tRNA". Rfam says of the family: Transfer RNA (tRNA) molecules are approximately 80 nucleotides in length. Their secondary structure includes four short double-helical elements and three loops (D, anti-codon, and T loops). Lineage: Eukaryota; Fungi; Basidiomycota; Agaricomycetes; Agaricales; Omphalotaceae. The record is from RNAcentral.